GUUUUUGAAGCAUUGCGGAGGGCUGGUGUAAGAACAAUUGUAUUGUCCAACUUAAAAACCCAUCUCCGGACACUUUUAGAGGCCCUGAAAUGAGAUCACUUGUUUAAUGUAGUCGUUGUAUCUGCUGAGGUUGCAGCAGAAAACUCAAAUCCAACAAUAUUCUUGGAAGCUUGUGAGUUGUUGGGCGGGAAGCCUGAAGAGAUUGUACUCAGUCUAAGAUGA
This 222-nucleotide ribosomal RNA is filed under the name Triticum aestivum (bread wheat). RNAcentral's name for it is "partial small subunit ribosomal RNA". Lineage: Eukaryota; Viridiplantae; Streptophyta; Magnoliopsida; Poales; Poaceae. The record is from RNAcentral.